Molecule: transfer RNA, 91 nt
Filed under: Poriferisphaera corsica
Lineage: Bacteria; Pseudomonadati; Planctomycetota; Phycisphaerae; Phycisphaerales; Phycisphaeraceae
Description: Planctomycetes bacterium KS4 tRNA-Ser
Source: RNAcentral
GGUAGGUCAAGCCAACAGCAGGCGAUGGCAACUCACCGCUAAUGAGUCGAGGCUUAACCGUCCUUGCAGGUUCGACCCCUGCACCUACCGC